CAGUCGCCGCGGGAAUACGUAGGGUGCGAGCGUUAAUCGGAAUUACUGGGCGUAAAGCGUGCGCAGGCGGUUCGUUAAGACAGAUAUGAAAUCCCCGGGCUUAACCUGGGAACUGCAUUUGUGACUGGCGAGCUAGAGUAUGGCAGAGGGGGGUAGAAUUCCACGUGUAGCAGUGAAAUGCGUAGAGAUGUGGAGGAAUACCGAUGGCGAAGGCAGCCCCCUGGGCCAAUACUGACGCUCAUGCACGAAAGCGUGGGGAGCAAACAGGAUUAGAUACCCGAGUAGUCCCUGUCUCUUAUAA
This 301-nucleotide ribosomal RNA is filed under the name uncultured bacterium. RNAcentral's name for it is "partial 16S ribosomal RNA". It matches the Rfam family "Bacterial small subunit ribosomal RNA", at positions 509 to 809 of the family's 1533-position model. The record is from RNAcentral.